Molecule: long non-coding RNA, 1297 nt
Filed under: Homo sapiens (human)
Lineage: Eukaryota; Metazoa; Chordata; Mammalia; Primates; Hominidae
Description: non-protein coding lnc-DSEL-7:1
Source: RNAcentral
GGAUACAUACCAAGAGAUCAAAUGGACACUUUGAGAACACUGUGCAAAUGAGCAAGUUGCAAAACCUCAUCAAGUACAGCAAGAUGGUCAGGUGUAGAGAACAGUUUGUCUGCCCAGUAAUACUAUUCAAGGGCCAGAAAAUUUGGCAAGUCAGCCUCUGGCUGAAUGGAGGCAGCUGCAUGAAUCCACUGGCUACAGCUGUAUUUUUCAGAGGGUGCCUGUGCUGCCUGGACAGAUGCAGGGGACUUCACAGAAGAGGAAUAUGCUCUCUGAAGUGUCCAUACACAACUAUUUCAGGAAGUUAGAGGCUGUGACAUCAAGCUGCUUCAAUACCUAUCAGUCAAAUACAUCUCUGACCUGAUGGUAGAGAAUAAGAAAGUAAAGCUUGGCUUGAAUGUGACCUCCUCUGAGAAGGUGGACAAAGCCCAGUGCUGUGCCACCUUCACUCUGCUCUGCAUCCUGUGUUUGGGCGGUGAAUUUUGCAAGGAAUAUAAGGAUUGAAUUACAUGGCUGAAAGGCAAAUUUUUAACUGGAAGCAGGAUUAUGUCAAGGUCCCAUUGAGCACACCUGACUCAUAGACUCACUCUCUGAACAUUAACUGGAGCCAGUAUCAGUGGUGGGACCUGCUGCAUCAAACACAAAACUACCCCAAACUGCUGAUUUCCGUAGUUAACAGCAACUAUGAGAGCAAACUGCUGGUAUAUCAGUCUGGGAUCACAUCCCUCUUUUCUACACCUUUCUUUGUGGGCUGAUGGGCUCAUCCACACAUCCCUAAAGCCUGCUGAGAUCCUUCACCUACCCACAGCCUGUUCCUAGUUCCUCUUUGGGCACUUGAUGGUAGAUUGGGUAAGCAAAGGAUGGGAGAUUUUUUCCGCUUGAGUUUUUGAAGCAUAUCAUUUCCUAGGAGUUCUCUGCCCUGAAGACACACAGGUGAGAGUUUGUCAGGCUGGGAUGCAGGCUUCACCGUGGAGGAUAUCUGUAUGCUGAGAUGAAGGGAUCCCAGCCUUGGCAGGGACUUUUCUCCCUGGUCAUGGAGAGCCCUCAGUCGUCAUUGAGAGCUUCACCUAUGAGGUUGUGGAGCUAUUCCUAGAAGGAUCACAGACUCAGGCAGCUUGGAGAAGAGUCACUUGUCCUCUCCACAAAGUAUACUCUGGAAUUGACUGCAGCCCUCGGAGCAUGACCUGCCUUCUCAACAGAUGCUGGAAAAAGCCAGAGUCUUCAAGCUCCUCAUUUUCAGCCAUUGCAACAACUUUUUCAGAAUGGGUAGUGGCCCCCUGGAAGUCUCCAAACCCAGACU